CGUGAGUGGCGGACGGGUGAGUAACGCGUGGGUAACCUGCCUCAUACAGGGGGAUAACAGUUGGAAACGGCUGCUAAUACCGCAUAAGCGCACAGUACCGCAUGGUACGGUGUGAAAAACUCCGGUGGUAUGAGAUGGACCCGCGUCUGAUUAGGUAGUUGGUGGGGUAACGGCCUACCAAGCCGACGAUCAGUAGCCGACCUGAGAGGGUGACCGGCCACAUUGGGACUGAGACACGGCCCAA
Molecule: ribosomal RNA, 244 nt
Filed under: uncultured bacterium
Lineage: Bacteria
Description: partial 16S ribosomal RNA
Rfam family: Bacterial small subunit ribosomal RNA
Source: RNAcentral